AUCUGGUUGAUCCUGCCAGUAGUCAUACGCUCGUCUCAAAGAUUAAUCCAUGCAUGUGUAAGUGUAAAUAUCAAAGGAUUGGAACUGCGCAAUGGCUCAUUAUAUCAGUUAUAGUUUAUUUGGUGAAGUGUACUACUUGGAUAACCGUAGUAAUUCUAGGGCUAAUACAUGAGAAAGUCCUCUGGUGAGGUGUGUUUAUUAGAAUGAAAACCAUAUGCUUCGGCAUGAUAGUGAGUAAUAGUAACCUAUCGUAUCGCAUGCUUAAUGUAGCGAUGAGUCUUUCAAGUUUCUGCCCUAUCAGCUUUCGAUGGUAGUAUAUGGGCCUACCAUGGCAGUAACGGGUAACGAAGAAUUUGGGUUCGAUUUCGGAGAGGGAGCCUGAGAGAUGGCUACCACAUCCAACGGAAGGCUAAAAGUCAGGCGCCGUAAAUUACCCAAUCCUUGACACAGGGAGGUAGUGACAAUAAAUCACAAUGCGGGACUAUACGUCUUGCAAUUGGAUUGAGAACAAUGUACAACUCUUAUCGAUAAGCCAUUGGAGGGCAAGUCUGGUGCCAGCAGCCGCCCUAAUUCCAGGUCCAAUAGCGUACUAUUAACGUUGUUGCAGUUAAAAAGCUC
RNAcentral lists this ribosomal RNA (618 nucleotides) under Blastocystis hominis. Its description in RNAcentral is "SSU rRNA". It matches the Rfam family "Eukaryotic small subunit ribosomal RNA", at positions 1 to 629 of the family's 1831-position model. Lineage: Eukaryota; Bigyra; Opalinata; Blastocystidae. The record is from RNAcentral.